AUGCGCGUAGCUCAACGGGUAGAGCGGCGGUCUCCAAAACCGCAGGUCGUUGGUUCGGAGUCAACCGCGUAUGCCA
RNAcentral lists this transfer RNA (76 nucleotides) under Bifidobacterium bifidum. RNAcentral's name for it is "tRNA-Trp". It matches the Rfam family "tRNA". Rfam says of the family: Transfer RNA (tRNA) molecules are approximately 80 nucleotides in length. Their secondary structure includes four short double-helical elements and three loops (D, anti-codon, and T loops). Further hydrogen bonds mediate the characteristic L-shaped molecular structure. tRNAs have two regions of fundamental functional importance: the anti-codon, which is responsible for specific mRNA codon recognition, and the 3' end, to which the tRNAs corresponding amino acid is attached (by aminoacyl-tRNA synthetases). tRNAs cope with the degeneracy of the genetic code in two manners: having more than one tRNA (with a specific anti-codon) for a particular amino acid; and 'wobble' base-pairing, i.e. permitting non-standard base-pairing at the 3rd anti-codon position. Lineage: Bacteria; Bacillati; Actinomycetota; Actinomycetes; Bifidobacteriales; Bifidobacteriaceae. The record is from RNAcentral.